ACCUUCGUGGUGGAGUGGUCAGUACGCUCGACGCGUAACCGAGAGGUCCGUGGUUCGAUUCCCGGCGAAGGCA
This is a non-coding RNA of Stegodyphus mimosarum, 73 nucleotides long. The record is from Rfam. NCBI's taxonomy places the organism in Eukaryota, Metazoa, Arthropoda, Arachnida, Araneae, Eresidae.